UGAGGUAAUGUGAGGAGUAGAGAAAUUGCUUUAGACAAACAUUACUGUUUGGAAAUACUCGACCUAAGUGGAUUCAGUUACUUUCUGAGAGUUCAGCGAGGUUGGAAUGAAGAUUGUAAUUUGAGUUGUAUAUAAAACAGAGAAAGAAAAACAUUUUGCCAACUCUUGCAUUCAUAUAUAUUUUCCAUCCCUGACAUGAUUAUGUUUUUAUAUUUCCCCAAUUAGAUUUUAAACCAUUUGUAGGGAGGAAACUGGGUUUCUUUUAACAAGGUCUCCCAGGCACGUACCGCAGGGUUAAGUACCUUACAGACUCUCGGUAAAUACUGACUGCCUGAGGGGAAGUGAAUAUUCCCAAGGGUGUUUCCUUAGGGCUUGGUAUUUUCCGUGAGAAGCAGACCUCGUGUGGAAGCGUUGUUCCUUUAAGUUGGGAUGGUUUCCUGAAAGGUUUCAGCACAAUGACACUGAUUAGCUGCCAGACUAAUUGCUCACCACCACCAACCUUGUUUCGUAAGCAAACUGGGCCCGAGGGUAAAAUAACAUGCACACUGAGCCAAACUUUCCAACAUGUGCUCCUAACCCUUCCCCCUUGAAUUCAGAAAGUGACCUUUUGGUGAACAAAUGUUCUUUCACCUUCACUGUUUAGAAGUUGUUAACACCGGGCCAGCGACGUGAUUGAUGCACGUGCUUUCCCCUCCUCUGGAGUAGGUUCCACUGUUUCCCCCUCGGAGCUGUGAACUUUUAUAUUGUUUUCCUUUGAUAAGGUGGCUGGGUUGCCCAUAAAUUUGAAUGUAUGUUUUAAUGACCUGGUGGUUGCUGAAAGAGUGUUAUUCUGCUUUGUAGGCUUCUGGCUUUUCUUCUUCAAGGCACACUUCUGGCUAAACGUUUUCUGAACAUGGCCUUCUCUUAGUAAUCUGUUUGAAAAGUCUGUGAUUUCCCACCCUCCCCCCGCACCUCCACAAGCCCACCUGGGUCUCUUGUUUGCAGUUUAAUUAGUUUAAUUCUCAGGCAAAUGAGAAAUCUUUUUUGAAUCUAAGGAUGCCAGAUCUUUAAAGUCAGUUCUUUCAGCAAGCUUCAGUUUUCCAAGUAGAAGAAACAUCAGAAAGGAUGGAAAGAUCAGUGCUGAUAAUUCUUAGUUAUUUUUAAUUUUGGGGGGUGGGGGCGAGUGUGGAGAGUAAGGGUAAAUCCUUCCUCAAAGCCCAACAUUGCAGAUACCAACAAAAGGGGAGAUGGAGGCAGUAGGGAAGAGUGAUUAAAGGUACCAACUAGGAGGUUAAGUGUGUGACUUUGGGCAAAUUACUUAUCCUGUCUGUGUCUCAAUUCCCUUUCCUAUAAAGUGGAAAUUAUACUAAUAGUACCUACCUCACAGGGUUGUUAUGAAGAGUAAAUGAGUUAAUAUAUACAAAGUGUGUAGGCCAGAGUGCCCGGUGCAUUGAAGGUGCUACGUGAAUGUUAGCUAGUAUAGAUUCUCCAACAAUUCUGGAAUCCCAACAGUUUUGACAUCAAACAAUGGUUAUUUUUCAGUUUUUUAAAGUAAUUUAUUUGAUGGCAGAACUAACCUGAACUGUUGAGAAUAUUUUUGUCUUGAUUUCAUUUAAUGUGAAUAUAAGUUUUGCUAUGGAAAUAUUAAUGUGUUUGAUGUGGGGCCUGCCCCAGUCUACCAGGUGGGUUAUAGAUAUACGGUAUAUGCACCAUAUUACAUUUACAACAUCAGAAACAUGCUGAAUUCUGAAACAUAUCUGACAGCACAGGUUCAGAUAAAACACUGGAUGUAUGCCGAGAUAGAAAAAUAUAUUGGCAAAAAUACUUCCUAUUUAUUACCUAUCCUGCUUCUUCUUGGUUAUACCCCUUGGUGUUUUUCUCAUAGGACUGAAAAAAAAAAAUAGAAAUUUCACAGGCUGUUAUUUUAUUUGUGAAUAUUUAUUGAACCCAUACCAUGUGCUAAGCAGUCAAGGUCCUCUGCUGUCAGGGAGCUGAUUGGCCAGUGUUAGCUAUAUAUUAUUAAGGGCCUACAAUGUAAAAGGCCUUAAUCUAGAUACAUUAUUCACAUAAUCUCUAGUUCUAACAAUAAUCAGUUCUACAAAUAAAGGAAAAAUGCUCUGAGGCAUUAAAUAACCUGCUCAAAGCUAGUCACCUAUUCAAAGCAGGUAAAUGGUUGAGCUGGGACUUAAAUUCCAGUCUGGGUGGCUCCAUGGCCUGUGCUCUUUCCACUUUACCACAUUUGCUCUUGCUAAGAGCACUCAGAUCUAAUGGCUCUUAAAGAGAGUCUUGUAGACUUUAAUCUCUUUCUGACAUGCCACGUUAUGUGAGGCCUGACAAACAAGAAAAGCUCACUGGUGCACUUGACCUCCCUGGAAAGGUUGUGUCACCGUGUGCAGGGGACACGUCAGCAGUCAGUGGACAAGUCAGGCAAGUCACAGAUGAACAUUAUGGAAUGGGGCAUACAUGAAAUACUGGAAACUAGUUUGUGUAACAACCAUUUGUAAUUCUUAUGGAAGUAAAAUUUAUAUACCAUUGAAAUCACAGAUCUUAACUGUCCAAUUCAAUGAAUUUUGGCCAUUGCUUCUGUUAUGGGGUAAACUGUGUCCCCUCAAAAUGCAUAUGCUGAAUGUGACUGUGUUUGGAGAUACAGUCUUUUAAGGGGCUAUUAAUGUUAAAAUGAGGUCAUUAGGGUAAGCCCUAAUCCAAUGUGACUGAUGUCCUUAUAAGAAGAGAAUAUCUGGACACAGGUAGAUGAACAGAGGGAAGACCUUGUGAAGACACAGAACGAAGAUGGCCACCUGCAAGCCAAGGAGAGAGGCCUCAGAAGCAACCAAUCCUGUCACCUUUGAUCUUAGAUUUCUAGCCUCCGGGUCUGUGAGAAAAAUGCAAUUCUGUUGUUUAAGCCACCAGUCUGCGGUACUUGACUGUGGCAGCCCUAUAGCAAACUCAUAUAGCCUCUAAUGGACCAUCACUCCAAUGCUGUGAAUAUUAAGUUCUACUAGGUUCAGGCAGACCCUGAGCUAAAUGGCAGCCUAUGUAUUACUCAAAACCUCAGAACAUUUACACCAAUCACUUCUUUUAAAAAAAUUCUAGUCGAUAUUUUAAAAAAAAUACUUAUUUGAUGGUUUCGAAAUAUUACAUUAAGUUUGGCUGGGCGUGGUGGCCCACACCUGUAAUCCCACCACUUUAGGAGGCCAAGGUGGGCGGAUCACUUGAGGAAAGACUAUAAUAACCUAAAAACCUUAUUUGAGCUGAUUGUACAAUUGUUGACAAAUGAUGCAAGCUUGCAUUUUCUCUGAAUUUUGCACAUUUCUAGUGUAUUCAUGACUUUAUAUGGAUGUAGCUCUAAGGCUUUAAUAGAAUGUCUUAUUUCUCAUUCCUGUGGGUGUCCAUGUGUCUAGGACCCCUGAAUAAUGGCCUGUCUGCAGCAGGACAGGGCGCAGACAAAACCUCUCAGACACCGAGUUAAAGAAGGAAGGGCUUUAUUCAGUUCAGAGCUUCGGCAAGACUCAAGUCUCCAACAACCGAGCUCCUCGAGUGAGCAAUUCCUGUCCCUUUUAAGGGCUCACAACUCUAAGGGGGGUCCACAUGAGAGGGUCGUGAUCGAUUGAGCAAGCAGGGUGUUAGAUAAGCACAGCAUUGGUAGCCAUCUCAGCCCAUGCUCUAUGGUCCCCCAAGUUGGAGGUCGGGGGGCAUGACUUUUGUUUUGCUUUGUGGGGUGCUUAUCCUUGGAGUUCUGUGGGUUUUCUGGAAAGGCAUUGCUGGGGUAUUGGGAGGGGAGAUGGGAAGGUUUUUACUGUCUAUCUUAAUUUACUGUUUGACAUUAUUGAUGCUAGUUUAUAAGCCCAUACCCUAAGGUGUUAGUUAAACAUUUAACGCCAAGAUUAUCUCCUAUUCCUCCAAAAAUGGAUCAAUUAGGUAUCUUAUUUUGGCUUGGAAAUAAAUGACGAGGUCACAACUCUGCAUAUAGUAUGACAAUUUGCUGAGUAUGUUUCCAUUAGCUAGAAAGACUUUGAGGGCAUGAAGAGUAGGCACUUUUUGGACUAACACCUGGUGUUAUGUGAGCAGUGGUGUUGCUCUAAUUUAUUGAAUGUCACAAUUCUGUAAGGGAACAAAGAACUCUGUUAGGCAGAUAUAACCUGGGACUAUUGCCAAAUUGCUUUCUGUGGUGGAUAUGAAAAUCAAUGAAUAGGGUGGAUGUGCAGCAUAAUCAAUGGAAAUGUGCUUGAUGAUGGUCACUGGUAUGUAGCCCUCUUGCAGGUAUAUUCAGGGAAAAUUCUACCUAUGACAUACUUGUAGAAGUACAAGUGUAAGUGGGUGAUGAGGAUCAUAUCGCAACUGUUCUCAGCGUCCCAUUUCUAAGUGUGUAGGCAAUGAACCCCGCUAGCUUAUGAAGCCGCGUGUUAUUGAAACAUGUUGCUCACACUUCUGUCCCUUGCUUUCUUCAUCCCUCCUUCCCUCUAAGCCCUAUUUGUCCCCUUAUGUUUUAUGAUGCCUCUGUCUAAUAAGGGAACUUGAAAGGCAGCCCCUCUGGUAUUUCCAGAGCUCUAUUUUGCAGGUACACCAAUCAGACGUAGAUUUGGUCUUUUCACAUAGUCCCACAUUUCUUG
This 4589-nucleotide long non-coding RNA is filed under the name Homo sapiens (human). RNAcentral describes it as "HSALNT0327678". The record is from RNAcentral. Lineage: Eukaryota; Metazoa; Chordata; Mammalia; Primates; Hominidae.